Molecule: ribosomal RNA, 465 nt
Filed under: uncultured bacterium
Lineage: Bacteria
Description: partial 16S ribosomal RNA
Rfam family: Bacterial small subunit ribosomal RNA
Source: RNAcentral
GACGAACGCUGGCGGCGUGCUUAACACAUGCAAGUCGAACGGAAAGGCCCUGCUUGCAGGGUACUCGAGUGGCGAACGGGUGAGUAACACGUGGGUGAUCUGCCCUGCACUUCGGGAUAAGCCUGGGAAACUGGGUCUAAUACCGGAUAGGAGCCAUUUUUAGUGUGAUGGUUGGAAAGUUUUUUCGGUGUAGGAUGAGCUCGCGGCCUAUCAGCUUGUUGGUGAGGUAAUGGCCUACCAAGGCGGCGACGGGUAGCCGGCCUGAGAGGGUGGACGGCCACAUUGGGACUGAGAUACGGCCCAGACUCCUACGGGAGGCAGCAGUGGGGAAUAUUGCACAAUGGGCGCAAGCCUGAUGCAGCGACGCCGCGUGGGGGAUGACGGCCUUCGGGUUGUAAACUCCUUUCGCUAGGGACGAAGCUUUUUGUGACGGUACCUAGAUAAGAAGCACCGGCUAACUACGUG